AGAGUUUGAUCAUGGCUCAGGAUGAACGCUAGCGGCAGGCUUAAUACAUGCAAGUCGAGGGGCAGCAUGACUGUAGCAAUACAGUUGAUGGCGACCGGCAAACGGGUGCGGAACACGUACGCAAUCUACCCAAAACUGAUGAAUAGCCCUCCGAAAGGAGGAUUAAUACAUCGUAACUUAAUGAAGUGGCAUCACUUUAUUAAUAUAGCUCCGGCGGUUUUGGAUGAGCGUGCGCCUGAUUAGGUAGUUGGCGGGGUAACGGCCCACCAAGCCUGCGAUCAGUAACUGGUGUGAGAGCACGACCAGUCACACGGGCACUGAGACACGGGCCCGACUCCUACGGGAGGCAGCAGUAAGGAAUAUUGGUCAAUGGACGCAAGUCUGAACCAGCCAUGCCGCGUGAAGGAUGAAGGUCCUCUGGAUUGUAAACUUCUUUUAUGUGGGACGAAACCUCUUAUUCUUAAGAGACUGACGGUACCAUAGGAAUAAGCACCGGCUAACUCCGUGCCAGCAGCCGCGGUAAUACGGAGGGUGCAAGCGUUAUCCGGAUUCACUGGGUUUAAAGGGAGCGUAGGAGGGCAGGUAAGUCAGUGGUGAAAUCUUCGAGCUUAACUCGGAAACUGCCGUUGAUACUAUCUGUCUUGAAUACCGUGGAGAUGAGCGGAAUAUCAUGUAGCGGUGAAAUGCUUAGAUAUGACAUAGAACACCAAUUGCGAAGGCAGCUCGUUACACGAAUAUUGACUCUGAGGCUCGAAAGCGUGGGGAUCAAACAGGAUUAGAUACCCUAGUAGUCC
RNAcentral lists this ribosomal RNA (794 nucleotides) under uncultured bacterium. Its description in RNAcentral is "bacterial SSU rRNA". It matches the Rfam family "Bacterial small subunit ribosomal RNA", at positions 8 to 796 of the family's 1533-position model. The record is from RNAcentral.